RNAcentral lists this small RNA (41 nucleotides) under Arabidopsis thaliana (thale cress). RNAcentral's name for it is "ATSL225070". The record is from RNAcentral. Lineage: Eukaryota; Viridiplantae; Streptophyta; Magnoliopsida; Brassicales; Brassicaceae.
UUCCCGGCGAUCUAAAAGGAACCAGGAGCCGAUCUGCACAU